GGCCGGUUAGCUCAGCCAGGUCAGAGCGCCAGUCUUACAAACUGGAUGCCGAGGGUUCGAAUCUCUCACCGGCCA
RNAcentral lists this transfer RNA (75 nucleotides) under Acidobacteriota bacterium. RNAcentral describes it as "tRNA-Val". It matches the Rfam family "tRNA". From Rfam's summary of the family: Transfer RNA (tRNA) molecules are approximately 80 nucleotides in length. Their secondary structure includes four short double-helical elements and three loops (D, anti-codon, and T loops). Lineage: Bacteria; Pseudomonadati; Acidobacteriota. The record is from RNAcentral.